This is a long non-coding RNA of Entelurus aequoreus (snake pipefish), 169 nucleotides long. RefSeq lists it as uncharacterized. The transcript has 3 exons. Lineage: Eukaryota; Metazoa; Chordata; Actinopteri; Syngnathiformes; Syngnathidae. The record is from RefSeq and is a predicted model, not a curated record.
AGAAGACUUCAGUAGAGGCAGACAAGCUUAAGACUUCCAAGAAAAGAACGGAGACUUCUAAAGUGCGAGUGGAAGAAACAUUCCCACCAGAAGAACCAAGGCUCUUAAUGGUCACCAGCCCUAUAGCUGAAGCCGUUCCUGCACAAGUUGUCCCAGAAGUGAGACAAUC